GAGGAUAUAGCUCAGUGGUAGAGCACGUGCUUAGCAUGCAUGAGGUCCUGGGUUCGAUCCCAGUGCCUGCG
RNAcentral lists this transfer RNA (71 nucleotides) under Camelus bactrianus (Bactrian camel). It matches the Rfam family "tRNA". Rfam says of the family: Transfer RNA (tRNA) molecules are approximately 80 nucleotides in length. Lineage: Eukaryota; Metazoa; Chordata; Mammalia; Artiodactyla; Camelidae. RNAcentral also lists the same sequence under 1 other name. The record is from Rfam by way of RNAcentral.